GAUUCUGGCUCAGGAUGAACGCUAGCUACAGGCUUAACACAUGCAAGUCGAGGAGCAUCAUGAGAUUAGCUUGCUAAUCUGAUGGCGACCGGCGCACGGGUGAGUAACGCGUAUCCAACCUUCCCCUUAGUAGGGCAUAGCCCGGCGAAAGUCGGAUUAAUACCCUAUGUUGUCAAUAGAGGACAUCUGAAGCUGACUAAAGAUUAAUCGCUAAGGGAUGGGGAUGCGUCUGAUUAGCUUGUUGGCGGGGUAACGGCCCACCAAGGCGACGAUCAGUAGGGGUUCUGAGAGGAAGGUCCCCCACACUGGUACUGAGACACGGACCAGACUCCUACGGGAGGCAGCAGUGAGGAAUAUUGGUCAAUGGGCGUAAGCCUGAACCAGCCAAGUAGCCGUGCAGGAUGACGGCCCUAUGGGUUGUAAACUACUUUUAUGCGGGGAUAAAGUUACCUACGUGUAGGUGUUUGUAGGUACCGCAUGAAUAAGGACCGGCUAAUUCCGUGCCAGCAGCUGC
Molecule: ribosomal RNA, 514 nt
Filed under: uncultured bacterium
Lineage: Bacteria
Description: bacterial SSU rRNA
Rfam family: Bacterial small subunit ribosomal RNA
Source: RNAcentral